Molecule: long non-coding RNA, 1717 nt
Organism: Coturnix japonica (Japanese quail)
Lineage: Eukaryota; Metazoa; Chordata; Aves; Galliformes; Phasianidae
Source: Ensembl
CACUUUCUUGUUUAAUAAAUUACAUACUUUCCAGCACAGUUGCAUAGAAAUGGAAAAGUCUUGUUCCCACACUGAUUGACUCAGCAUCUUGUUAAUCAUUGCUGUGUGUACUAUGAAUUUAUUGUUCAGCUGUAACAAUGUGAGACGUUUUGCCUAUGACAGCUUAAAAUAUGUACUAGGUACAUGAGUUCUUAGUGAGAUAAAAUGUACUCAGUUUACAGUAUUUUAUCAUGACAAAAAAAACAUCUAAAAUAAUGUUAUUUGACACAUGAGAUGUGGCAAAAAAGUUGAGACACAACAGCUAUCACUGUAAAUGUUUAUAGAUGUACCUAAAGUCUUAUCUAAAGUUCAUCCUGUUAAAGGACAUGUUUUAUGUUGUACAAUUCCUCUUAGAAUAUCAAUCUAAUAAGCACCAAAUGAGGCUGAAGACAAUGCUGUUAUAAAAAAUGGAGAAAAAUGAUUAAAAUGUGAUAAUUAUACUGACAGUUUAUAUGCUCAAUCUAAUCAACCAAGCUUCCAAUUUGUCAUAAUGUACACUCACUCAUACAUUAUUGCUUAAUUAUAGCAACACUUCUAUUUCGAAAGGCUGUCAAUCAUGCAAAUGCCCAUCAUUUUUCUCUAUUUGCAUUUAAGAGACAUAUUUUUAGUUCAUUCCAAAGCCUACCGUGAACCUGAAUUAACCCUAGCUCUUUCUUUCUAUUGCAGUGCUCAUCUCUGUUUAUUCUGUUUGCCAUCUGUAGUACAGUUUACGCUGCAUGAUUUCUUACUUUAAAUUUCAUCAAGAGAUUUUUGAAUGUAAUUUCCGCUCCCAAACUGUAGACUCAGUGAUCUACGUAGUCUUGAGAGAUGCAGUUCUUAGCUUGAACUACUCAGGAUCUGAGUCUAAACUUCAGUCAGGUUGUACAGUGAUGCACCUUGUAUGAGUCUACAGAUACCUCAUGCACUAGCUGGAGAAGAGAAGGAAAAUUUACCAGCAAUCAGCAGCAUUAGAAGAGCUCCAUGCUGUCCAUUUUCAUGUAUUUUUCUUAGUUUAUACAGUUUUAUAGGCUCACAAUCUUUUGUUGCAAAUGCGAAAGAAGAUCUGGAAUGUUAUGUCUCAUGAAAAUCAUGAUACUGCUACUGAUAGUAUAAUAUAGUAUAUAAUCUUACAUUGAAUUUGUUGAUGUUAUAUCAGUUUGUCUGUUAAGGAUUCUAUCAUUCUUUGUGUUGAUAGACAUUUCUUGAAAACUGAGAAUUACUAUUACUAAACAUUAAAGAGACAACUGAUGCUUACCAUUUACUUUUCUCUCUGUUGAGAAAAAAUGAUAUUUUGCCACUGUUACAAGACUGACAUCUUUCAGUAACUUCUGUUCUUUAGUUAGUCAUUCAGUUUUAUUGUAUGACAAGUUUCUCCUCUGGGAAUGACAAGAUGAAAUAUUUUUAAAAAACAGGUAUGAAGUUUGGUUGGUCAAAAUGCACCCACUCAAGUCGAGUGUACUCUGAAUUAUUUCUAUACCAACUUAGCAACCUUCAUGUGAAUAGCAGCUUUUCCAGGAGGUUGGAUUUUUAAAUCAAUGGAAUCAUGGAGGGUAGAGGCGAGGCUUUCAUGGCUGAAGAGAGUAAAUUAAGAAGAGUGGAUUUUUUCUGCUUUCAGGGAAGUAAAAAUUUGGCCAAAGGACUCUGAGAUGAUGGCAAAGUCGAAGUAGAACUUACCAAUAAAUAGUUGAAGAAGCUACCA